GAUGAACGCUGGCGGCGUGCCUAAUACAUGCAAGUCGAGCGAACGGACGAGAAGCUUGCUUCUCUGAUGUUAGCGGCGGACGGGUGAGUAACACGUGGAUAACCUACCUAUAAGACUGGGAUAACUUCGGGAAACCGGAGCCAAUACCGGAUUAUAUUUUGAACCGCAUGGUUCAAAAGUGAAAGACGGUCUUGCUGUCACUUAUAGAUGGAUCCGCGCUGCAUUAGCUAGUUGGUAAGGUAACGGCUUACCAAGGCAACGAUGCAUAGCCGACCUGAGAGGGUGAUCGGCCACACUGGAACUGAGACACGGUCCAGACUCCUACGGGAGGCAGCAGUAGGGAAUCUUCCGCAAUGGGCGAAAGCCUGACGGAGCAACGCCGCGUGAGCGAUGAAGGUCUUCGGAUCGUAAAACUCUGUUAUUAGGGAAGAACAUAUGUGUAAGUAACUGUGCACAUCUUGACGGUACCUAAUCAGAAAGCCACGGCUAACUACGUG
RNAcentral lists this ribosomal RNA (497 nucleotides) under uncultured bacterium. Its description in RNAcentral is "partial 16S ribosomal RNA". It matches the Rfam family "Bacterial small subunit ribosomal RNA", at positions 28 to 507 of the family's 1533-position model. The record is from RNAcentral.